RNAcentral lists this ribosomal RNA (429 nucleotides) under Yersinia frederiksenii. RNAcentral's name for it is "bacterial SSU rRNA". It matches the Rfam family "Bacterial small subunit ribosomal RNA", at positions 33 to 458 of the family's 1533-position model. The record is from RNAcentral. Lineage: Bacteria; Pseudomonadati; Pseudomonadota; Gammaproteobacteria; Enterobacterales; Yersiniaceae.
ACGCUGGCGGCAGGCCUAACACAUGCAAGUCGAGCGGCAGCGGAAAGUAGCUUGCUACUUUGCCGGCGAGCGGCGGACGGGUGAGUAAUGUCUGGGAAACUGCCUGAUGGAGGGGGAUAACUACUGGAAACGGUAGCUAAUACCGCAUGACCUCGAAAGAGCAAAGUGGGGGACCUUCGGGCCUCACGCCAUCGGAUGUGCCCAGAUGGGAUUAGCUAGUAGGUGGGGUAAUGGCUCACCUAGGCGACGAUCCCUAGCUGGUCUGAGAGGAUGACCAGCCACACUGGAACUGAGACACGGUCCAGACUCCUACGGGAGGCAGCAGUGGGGAAUAUUGCACAAUGGGCGCAAGCCUGAUGCAGCCAUGCCGCGUGUGUGAAGAAGGCCUUCGGGUUGUAAAGCACUUUCAGCGAGGAGGAAGGCAUUUCA